Molecule: unclassified non-coding RNA, 1402 nt
Filed under: Hevea brasiliensis (rubber tree)
Lineage: Eukaryota; Viridiplantae; Streptophyta; Magnoliopsida; Malpighiales; Euphorbiaceae
Source: RNAcentral
GGUUGCCUCUCCCCCUCUCUAUACUCCUCCAGCUGGUGAAGACCGGCGGACCAGCAACAACUUUGGUGAGGCUAGCAGCCGUUGGCCGCCUCGGCUUCUUCCUCUUUCUCUCCCUUCUCCCUCCCUCUUCUUAUCUUCCUCUCCAGGCGAGGAGCAGUAGCAGCCGAUACCAUCGGCAUCUUCUGCAGAAACUACCAAACAGACCGCCGGUAGCAGCAAAUGCGAAGGCGUAACUCUCUCUCCACCUUCCUCUUCUUUUUUAUUCUCCUCUCUUUGCUGGACCACCACCACCACCAGUGCAACGAGCAACCCAACAACAUCAACAACAACAACUCCAGUGAAGGAGGAAGUUGCAUGAGGCCAGUGACGACAACAGAAAACAGCAAUGUCCCCAACCAAGCGAAGCUCUGACAAAAACUGCCUUCUCCACCAGCAGCUCCGGCCAUGGAACUUCAGUGAGGGCCGAGUUUAAAUAUGAAGAUGGCAGAUCUCAACAGAUCCGUCCGGAUCCGUCAUUUCUCCCGCCAUGGAGCGCUUAUCCACUUGGUUUUUUCUGUGUUCGGGCCUAUAUCGAAUCAAAUUGGGUCUUCACUGCUGAUAAAUAAUAAGAGUCAUGGCCUAUCCUCAUUUCCCCAACAAACAAAUGGUGGUCAAAGUGAAUCCUACCCUGAAGGUUUGGUGGAAGGAUAUUUAGAGAAACCGAGAGUUAGAGGCAAAUGACCUGCUAGGUGGCCUUACCGUUUUGAUCUCCAUCUGGUCAGAUUUUCACCUGAUCAAGACAUUGUUGAAAUUUUGGGACUCUAAGAGGUUAGUUUUCAAAUUCAAGGACUUUGAUCUAACCCUAACAAUUGAUGAUAUUGGUGGGUUUCUGGGUCUCCCAUACAAAGAACGUGAAAUGAUUGUGCCACACAAGCCAACGCCAAGGUCCUUUUUGAAGCAAAUUGGCCUGCAUCAUGAUCCAAAUUUACUUUGUACGAAAAUGGGAUGAAUUUCUUUAGAAUUCCUGUAUUCACGUUUUUGAGACGAGGAAGGCCAUAAAAACAUUCACUUAGAAUUUGCUUGCUCCCCUGCAAAAUGGGAAAGAUACCGCCUUAACUCAUUCGUCGUCACAUUAUUAGGCUCAUUGAUUUUCCCUAUGGAAAGGGAAAAAAUCCAAACAAGCUUAUGUUAUGUGGUCCGUAUGUUGGCUCGAUGUGGGAAGACCAUAUUCCCAUGAUACUUUCGGAAAUUCUAAGAGCAUUUACCGCACUAAGGCAAAAGGUACUUCGAGGGGCGUAAUUUUCUGUUGCAACUUUGGGCUGUUGAACACUUCUACCAAAGUGACAAUAGGGUAGAAAUUAUUAGAGGGACCACGGGGAAUAAAAUUAUCACUCAUUCCUCAAGUAUGACAUUUUAUUUCCCU